Molecule: ribosomal RNA, 520 nt
Filed under: uncultured bacterium
Lineage: Bacteria
Description: bacterial SSU rRNA
Rfam family: Bacterial small subunit ribosomal RNA
Source: RNAcentral
AAUAGAUACCCCGGUAGUCCACGCCGUAAACGAUGAGUGCUAGGUGUUGGGGGGUUUCCACCCUCAGUGCUGAAGUUAACACAUUAAGCACUCCGCCUGGGGAGUACGGCCGCAAGGCUGAAACUCAAAGGAAUUGACGGGGGCCCGCACAAGCGGUGGAGCAUGUGGUUUAAUUCGAAGCAACGCGAAGAACCUUACCAGGUCUUGACAUCCCGAUGCCCGCUUUAGAGAUAGAGCUUUCCCUUCGGGGACAUCGGUGACAGGUGGUGCAUGGUUGUCGUCAGCUCGUGUCGUGAGAUGUUGGGUUAAGUCCCGCAACGAGCGCAACCCUUGAUAGUAGUUGCCAUCAUUGAGUUGGGCACUCUACUGUGACUGCCGCAGACAAUGCGGAGGAAGGUGGGGAUGACGUCAAAUCAUCAUGCCCCUUAUGACCUGGGCUACACACGUGCUACAAUGGAUGGUACAACGGGCAGCGAAACAGCGAUGUGGAGCGAAUCCCCAAAAGCCAUUCACAGUUCGG